UACAUCUGCCCCACAGUGUGUUACUUAUGUGUUGCUGUAUCUUAACAUGAUUCACGUUACUAUAUCUGUCUUUUAGGUGAUGGAGGAUAUGGCUGUUACUCUUGGCUUCUAACUCCAUUGUCCCGACCUGAUACCCCUGCUGAACACAAUUACAAUAAUGCACAUAAGUCCACGCGGAAUGUGAUAGAAAGAUGUUUUGGUGUGCUGAAAUCUAGGUUUCGGUGUCUGGAUAAGUCUGGUGGACUUUUGUUGUAUAGUCCCUCCAAGGUGACUCAAAUUGUGUUCUGCUGCUGCUUUCUUCAUAACAUGUGUUUGCAACAACAUCUGCCACAUGUUGAGGAGGAGGCGGAGGAGGAGGAAGAAAGCAGCCAGCAAGCAGAGGAAUUAGAGACAUCUGGUGAUACUUGGAGUACUGAUGUAGGAAGGCAGGUUAGGCAACAGAUCAUAAAUCGUUAUUUCUAAGCAUCUUAUACCCAAUGUCAUACUGUAUGACUCAAGUGGACAUACAUAUCUUUACUGGAUGUGGACAAGGACAUUUAGUUUGGAUUCCAUUUCAGCUUUUACUUACUGCGUUUGAUACUCACAAUCAAGAUGAGGGGAGUGUGGAUGACGUCUUGGAGGUGUGUCCAUAAUUUGGAGUGGGGGCACCGAACAUACGG
Molecule: long non-coding RNA, 659 nt
Organism: Pseudophryne corroboree (corroboree frog)
Lineage: Eukaryota; Metazoa; Chordata; Amphibia; Anura; Myobatrachidae
Exons: 3
Source: RefSeq, a predicted model, not a curated record